UUGUCAGUGCUGGUUUCUUUAAUGCAUGUUUUUUUACUUAUUAAGUUAGUACAGACAUUGCACAAUUUUUUUUUUUCUUUAAAGAACAUCAGAAAAUAUACAAAUAAUAAUAACUAAGCAAACUUUGUAAACCCAAAUAAAAUAACUUGUAGGGAAAAAAAAGUUUAAUUUGAUAGUAAAAUGACCAAAACAUAGCUAUGAAAUGACCUUUUUUUGUCUCCGUUUGAGACUGAAAGAUAUUGAAUUAAUUUAUGAGCUGUGGUUCAACAUGUGCAACACUAGCACGAUGUUAGGUAAUUAUAAUUAGUUGUGGAGCAGCAACAGGUUAAUUAAUUGCUUUGUUUUUCCAGUUGCACACAAGGCAGCUAAACAUUUACAUGUGAUCUAAUUAGUUUGAGCAUUCUGCGAUAUUUGCUUCACACCAAUUAAAUCUUAAAGGUGAGCUCUUAAUUUCUGUUGUUCUUUUUUUCUGUAAAACGUAAAUGGCCAUCAACGUGCAUAAUGAGUUUACUUUCUUUUUGAGUAUUAUUUAAAGGCGUCUAAAAAUAGAGCGCUUUUUUCUGUGCGUCCCUCUCCCCUUGCUUCAGAAAGCAGCCUGUUUGGCAGGAGAAAUGUCGGAAGUGCCGUAGUUUAUGUAUGCUAAUAGGGGGAGUUGGGGGUUGUAGCUAGAUAUUUACGUUCAGUGGGAGCCGCCCUUCAUUCACCCACAUGGUUACCAACUGGUCGCCUUCGCGCCACUUUCUUAACCCCGCAAUCAUUUAUAAGAAGCUUCUCUGGGGUCCAAAUGGGCUCUUAGUUCGUUCCGAUUUCACUUUGUGUUUCGUUUUAGUCCGCUGUUUGAAAAGUUUUCGGGAUGGUAGCGGUUUUAUUCGCCUCUUUUGUCGGCGUGAGACCAGCAGCCCGAGCAAGUGAGCGAAGAUGGUGGAUUUCGGCUGAUUCACCACGAGGUGCAGAGCCCCCAUGCUGUGGACAUUUGGGACCAUCUCCGCUUUAAUGGAGAGCAGUGAUGCAGUCUGUGCAUUGCCAAAGUGCUUACAGUGCAGGUGGGGAUCGGUGGCAAUGCUGUACUGCUGGAGGUAUUGCACUUGUCCCGGCCUGUAAAGGAGCGGGGAGCUGACCUGACCUCAACCUAGCCAAACUGUUGCAUUCCUAUGAUGUCCUGUGUUUCUGUAAUCUGUACGAGCUGCAUGCAUGUUGCCAUUUUGUGUUCCCAUUUCAUCUGGGUCCUUGUGAGGUUGAAAAUAAAAAAAAAGUUAAAGCAAAA
Girardinichthys multiradiatus is the source of this 1264-nucleotide long non-coding RNA. RefSeq lists it as uncharacterized. The record is from RefSeq and is a predicted model, not a curated record. Lineage: Eukaryota; Metazoa; Chordata; Actinopteri; Cyprinodontiformes; Goodeidae. The transcript is spliced from 3 exons.